UAUAUAGUCAUUGUGCACAUGUUCUGUCACUGGAGGAAAGUGUGUGUGGAGGCUUUUGGCUGGUUGGAGUUCAGCAAGGUGACGGCUGAAGGGAAGAAGCUGUUCCUGAGCCUGCUGGUCCUGUAGCGCCUCCCAGAGGGAAGAAGGGCAACCGGUCUGUGGCCGGGGUGAGAGGUCUCCCUGACGAUGCUGAGCGCCCUCUGCUGACACCUCUGGUGCUGGACAGCCUCAGUGGUGGGGAGUGGAGAACCGGUGAUGCGUUUUCACCACCCUCCGCAGUGCUUUCUGGUCCGAGACAGAGCAGUCGUCACGCUGUGAUGUGUUGGUUAGCUCUCGAUGGUGCAGCGGUAGAAGUUUCGUCAGUCUCCUCAGGAAGACUCAGGAAGACGCUGGUGAGCCUUCUUGAUCAGAGGCAAAGUGUUGAGGGCCCCCGGAGAUGUGGACACCCAGAAACUUGAAGCUGGAGACACGUUCAACCUCCGUCCCAUUGAUAUGGAUGGGCGUGUUGCACACCUAAUAUGUUGCUAUUACUAAUAUUACACUAUAUUAUGUUAAUGUUAUAUUGUUUUAUUAAAUUAUAUACUAUAUUACAUCUAUAUUAAUACAGACAAACACUAAGUAACAUUACUUCAUCAUACUAUAUAUUAUUCUGGUUCUGGCUUUAAUCACAAACUGUGUCACUUCACUUGAGACAGUACUGCAGUAUUAGUUUAAGUACAACACUGCUUGCCUUGUAAUUCUGACUUUAAUGGCUCAUGUAUAGUUUAUAUGUUUAUUUCUAUUCUUAUCUUUAUUUUUUUUACUUUUCUCUAUUUAUCUGAACUUUUUUCUCUUUGUGUUGCUGCAACACCUGGGGAUCAAUAAAGUUUGAUCUUAUCUGUAGACUUUUCCCUCAGGCACCAACUGAGUGACUGCAGCUAAUCAGUGCUCGUUAGUCCUGCAGAGAUCAGGAGGUGAAGAGACGAGAGAGCAGUAAAGAGCAGAAGGUUGCCGGACACGUUUAACCUUCCCUUUGGAUUACCUGUGUGUGUGAACGGAGGAGGAGCCCUCUGCGUUAGCGCUCCACUGCAUCAGCGGACUGGCGUAAUUCAAAUGAAUGAGGGAGUUGGGAGACAGCAUGUGAUCUCUUUUGCAUACCGUACAAGGGUCCAGCUGCUACAGGCGCUGCUCAUGACCUGCAGGGGGCUCCUCGAACGCUGGGGCAGGAGUGCUGGAGGUGUGGGCAGCCCGGACACUGCCGACGUGACUGCCCACUCGUGGAGGUCGGACAGGUGAUUCAGGUUGCCGGCUCUCCGACCCCCUUCCCCCGGCCCAGGGGCGACAUACUGUUUCGGGACAGGAGUGAAUGGGAACUUGGUGAUAUCGGCCUCCUCCAGCCCUCGAAGCUGCUCUCCCUCCUGACUGGUCCAGAGUUCCUCCUGUUCCUCUUUAAUGUGUGGGGGCUCUGGGUCCUGGUCCAGACUGGGGCUCCACUCCUGCUGCUCUUCUUUAACAAUCAGUUUUUUGUCAUUUGAGGGUAAAGCUGAAACACAGACAUUAAGUUAUUAAUGUAUAUUUGGAAACUUGAACAUAUACAAUUCCAUGAGACAUGACAAACUCAUCAUGUGAGCUGCUUUGGAAAAUUAAUAGGCAACAAUUUUUAUAAUCUAGGCCAGAGUGCAUCUGUAUACGCCAUUGAAAUGUAAAGAGAUACUUCGGAUUUUUUGAAGUGGGGUUGUAUGAGCUACUAAUCCAUAGUCAGUGUAUUACCUGCUGUAGAUGGCAGUCGGCACUCCCCCAGUGUGGAGAAGCAGAGAGUUGUACUGAUACUCCUGUCUGCUUCUCCAAACUGGGGGCUAUAAUAACUGAUUAUAGCUGCGUUUCAACCGCAGGAACUAUCCCCAGCUACUAGGAACCUUUGGAGGAACUGGGUACGUUUCCACUGCAGGGACCAGGGUCUAAAUUAAGAAAGGAUACAACAGAUGGACUGAUGACGAAUUCCAGACCUUGUUGAGUAUUUUUGCUGCGGACAAAAUCCAGAGGGAAUUGGAAACGGCGACCCGAAAUAAUAAGGUGUAUGCAAAAAUCUCCAGCAAGUUAAGCGAGCUGAACAUUGUACACACCAGGGAACAGUGCCGGGAGAAGAUUAAAAAAAUCAAACAGGAUUACAAGAAAAUCAAGGACCACAACAACAGAAGCAGCUCUGACUGGCACACCAACAAGUGGUUCGACCGCCUGGAUGCGUUGCUGGGUCACAGGCCGGCCUUCUCUGGCUCAGCAGCAACUGCAUUGUUGGAUCCAUGAUGGACGAUACGGAAACAGAUGACCAGUGUGUUAAUUGCUAUAAACAUUACAGAUGAAAUGCACAGUGAACUGCAGGCCGCCGAGACCAGCGUGUUUACUCCUGCGACCACCAGCAGCCCUCAUCCGAUGUCUCCAGCUGAAGCACACAAACGCCGAGGAAAGAGGAAAAGGGAUGCUGACUUCCUUGAUGUGAUGAAGGACAUGGACGAAGCUAACCAGACCGUCCUGCAGCAAGGACAGGGACAGCGGGACCAGUACAUGCAGCUGUUGCUUGAGAGCCAGGCAGAGGAAAGGGAGUUGAGGAGGCAAGAGUUGGCAUUCCUCUAGUCAGAGGAGGAAGAAACCAGACGGCAGCAGGGAGACUUUCAGGACGAGUUUCUGUCUGUUCUUGGCCAGCUUGUACAGUUGCUGAGCCAAAGAAGAAGCUACACUGCCACACCACUGGACUAAAGACUGCUGCUUGCCCCUCUUGUUUUUGUUGUACCUGCUUACUUUACACUUAUUAUAUAAGUUACUAGAAUUAUGCAGCUGUGACAAUUUUUAUUGAUAAAUGGCAGCUACAAUGCAUACACUUUCACACAUCAGCUCUGUAAACAGUAAUCUGACAGGCUACUACAAUGUGUUCAGAAACCUCAUUAGACCUGUACCUGCGUCUAGCCCCUCUGCCUCCACAGUGGAUGGCAGUACACCGUCAGGCUGGUUUAACGUAGUGGCACCCCGUUCUUCUCUGUACUCAUCACCCUUCAUUUCAGAGGUUAUGCAGAAUACAACAUGCUAGCAAAAAGGA
Molecule: long non-coding RNA, 3070 nt
Organism: Siniperca chuatsi (mandarin fish)
Lineage: Eukaryota; Metazoa; Chordata; Actinopteri; Centrarchiformes; Sinipercidae
Exons: 6
Source: RefSeq, a predicted model, not a curated record